RNAcentral lists this ribosomal RNA (404 nucleotides) under Nematoda sp. MM00028. RNAcentral's name for it is "SSU rRNA". It matches the Rfam family "Eukaryotic small subunit ribosomal RNA", at positions 592 to 998 of the family's 1831-position model. Lineage: Eukaryota; Metazoa; Nematoda. The record is from RNAcentral.
CGCAGGUGUAUAUCUAUGCUGCUGCGGUUAAAAAGCUCGUAGUUGGAUCUGCGUGCUCGGAACCGGUUGGCUCACUGAGUUUAAACUGGUCUCCGGCGCUUUAUCGGCUGGUUUUCCCUUGAUGCUCUUAACCGGGUGUCUUGGGUGGCUAGCACGUUUACUUUGAAAAAAUUAGAGUGCUCAAUACAGGCGCAAAGCCUUGAAUAGUGGUGCAUGGAAUAAUAGAAUAGGACCUCGGUUCUAUUUUGUUGGUUUUCGGAACACGAGGUAAUGAUUAAGAGGGACAGACGGGGGCAUUCGUAUUUCAUAGUCAGAGGUGAAAUUCUUGGAUUUAUGAAAGACGAACCACUGCGAAAGCAUUUGCCAAGGAUGUUUUCAUUAAUCAAGAACGAAAGUUGGGGGCU